AGAGUUUGAUCCUGGCUCAGGACGAACGCUGGCGGCACGCUUAACACAUGCAAGUCGAACGAGAGAAGAGGAGCUUGCUUUUCUGAUCUAGUGGCGGACGGGUGAGUAACACGUGAGCAAUCUGCCUUUCAGAGGGGGAUACCGAUUGGAAACGAUCGUUAAUACCGCAUAACAUAAUUGAACCGCAUGAUUUGAUUAUCAAAGAUUUAUCGCUGAAAGAUGAGCUCGCGUCUGAUUAGCUAGUUGGUAAGGUAACGGCUUACCAAGGCGACGAUCAGUAGCCGGACUGAGAGGUUGAUCGGCCACAUUGGGACUGAGACACGGCCCAGACUCCUACGGGAGGCAGCAGUGGGGAAUAUUGCACAAUGGAGGAAACUCUGAUGCAGCGAUGCCGCGUGAGGGAAGAAGGUUUUAGGAUUGUAAACCUCUGUCUUCAGGGACGAAAAAAGACGGUACCUGAGGAGGAAGCUCCGGCUAACUACGUGCCAGCAGCCGCGGUAAUACGUAGGGAGCGAGCGUUGUCCGGAAUUACUGGGUGUAAAGGGAGCGUAGGCGGGAUCGCAAGUCAGAUGUGAAAACUAUGGGCUUAACCCAUAAACUGCAUUUGAAACUGUGGUUCUUGAGUGAAGUAGAGGUAAGCGGAAUUCCUAGUGUAGCGGUGAAAUGCGUAGAUAUUAGGAGGAACAUCAGUGGCGAAGGCGGCUUACUGGGCUUUAACUGACGCUGAGGCUCGAAAGCGUGGGGAGCAAACAGGAUUAGAUACCCUGGUAGUCCACGCCGUAAACGAUGAUUACUAGGUGUGGGGGGACUGACCCCUUCCGUGCCGCAGCAAACGCAAUAAGUAAUCACCUGGGGAGUACGACCGCAAGGUUGAAACUCAAAGGAAUUGACGGGGGCCCGCACAAGCAGUGGAGUAUGUGGAUUAAUUCGAAGCAACGCGAAGAACCUUACCAGGUCUUGACAUCGUAUGCAUAGCUCAGAGAUGAGUGAAAUCUCUUCGGAGACAUAUAGACAGGUGGUGCAUGGUUGUCGUCAGCUCGUGUCGUGAGAUGUUGGGUUAAGUCCCGCAACGAGCGCAACCCUUACUGUUAGUUGCUACGCAAGAGCACUCUAGCAGGACUGCCGUUGACAAAACGGAGGAAGGUGGGGAUGACGUCAAAUCAUCAUGCCCCUUAUGACCUGGGCCUCACACGUACUACAAUGGCUGUCAACAGAGGGAAGCAAAGCCGCGAGGUGGAGCGAACCCCUAAAAGCAGUCUUAGUUCGGAUUGUAGGCUGCAACCCGCCUACAUGAAGUCGGAAUUGCUAGUAAUCGCAGAUCAGCAUGCUGCGGUGAAUACGUUCCCGGGCCUUGUACACACCGCCCGUCACGCCAUGGGAGUCGGUAACACCCGAAGCCUGUAGUCUAACCGCAAGGAGGACGCAGUCGAAGGUGGGAUUGAUGACUGGGGUGAAGUCGAAACAAGGUA
Molecule: ribosomal RNA, 1469 nt
Filed under: metagenome
Description: bacterial SSU rRNA
Rfam family: Bacterial small subunit ribosomal RNA
Source: RNAcentral